GAAAAUUACAAGCAUAAGCUUAAAACUCAAAGGACUUGGCGGCGUUUUAGAUCCACCUAGAGGAGCCUGUCCUACAACCGAUAACCCACGUUAAACCUUACCUUCUUUUGCACUCAGUCUAUAUACCGCCGUCGUCAGCUCACCUUUUGAGAGCCUUAUUAGUAAGCAAGAUUGGUCAAGCCCAAGACGUCAGGUCGAGGUGUAACACAUAAGAAGCGAAGAGAUGGGCUACAUUUCCUGCCUAGGGUCUCCCGGAAAAUAUUUUGAAAUUAAAUAUAUUGAAGAAGGAUUUAGCAGUAAGUAAAAACCAGAAAGUUUU
This 319-nucleotide ribosomal RNA is filed under the name Laimosemion geayi. RNAcentral's name for it is "partial 12S ribosomal RNA". It matches the Rfam family "Bacterial small subunit ribosomal RNA", at positions 875 to 1360 of the family's 1533-position model. Lineage: Eukaryota; Metazoa; Chordata; Actinopteri; Cyprinodontiformes; Rivulidae. The record is from RNAcentral.